CAUAAAUCCAAAAUAUAAAUAUAUGAAUAUAUUUCAUCAUACAUCUUAUAUUUUGAAUCUAUAAUGAAUAAAAAAUUUCAAAAAAUGAAAUUAUGGUAAAAACUAUCGUCGUCGUCAGUGGGUGCUGACAUUCCUCUAAUAGUUUUCUUGGAGUCCAUAUAUGGAAAGGAACAUUGCUUAAUUUUCAAUCUUGUACAUUUAUUGGCACCUUAACUCACAAGUGAUCUAAAGAAUUAACAUUUGGAGGCUUAAUGCACAAAACAAUUAUGAAAUCACAUAAUAUGUUGAAAAAUUAACUCUAGAUCACCCAACAAAGAUAUGGAAAAUAUUCUUAAUUUCCAAAUUCGAAAAUUGUGGUAAAUAUUAAAUUUAGCAAUUAAUUGUAUUUUGUGUGCGCAUGAGUUUAAUUAACAAUCCUGUCAAAACACUUUUAAUUAGUUCAAUACCCUAUUUGGCAAAUGAAUAUAUGCAAACAGAAAGCAGUGUGAUAUAUAUAUGUACGAGUACAAAGAGGUGGCACUCUAGACAUGAAAAAUCUGGCAGAAGUUAACCAUUACACUACGCAUACCUUAUUGGCUGUGUCCCAUUUGUAAGAUUUCUGGGUCGUAGAGCCACUUUUCAAGGACGCUUGGUGCCCAAACAGUUUCCGGUAACAAAAGGAAAUCAGUUUCCUGACGUAACCUGCAAAAUUUGUUUGGCUUAAUUUACUUAAUUAAUUAAUUAAGGUCACUAAAGAGAAUCAAUAUUAUUGUAUAUAAUCUGCAACCUAUAGGUCUCAAAGCAUUGCUUAAGCAAGUGCUCAAUUGUAUAUUUGCCUGCCAUAUAUAGAUAUCCAAACGAGUGUUAAACUUUGGCUUAAUUAGUUAGUUAAUUAUUACAAUAUACAUAUCCUGUGCAUGCGUUUGCACCAUAGAAAAAUAUCAGCUCACUACCUUUUGCCUACUUCUUAUAUAUAAGCACAACCCCAGUUCUCCCUUCUCAUUGAGUUACAAACCUAGGUGAAGAGAAAGGCUGAAAAAGACAGAGAGAGAGAGAGAUGGCUGUGGUUCUUGUGUAUAGUUUUUGCUGUACAUUACUCUGGGCAAUUGUAUUGAGAGCGAUCAAAAGGAGAAUACAACAGAAGAAAAGAGCAAACUUGCCACCAGGUUCAAUGGGGUUGCCUUAUAUUGGAGAGACUCUUCAACUCUACGCUCAAAACCCUGACAUCUUCUUUGCUGCCAGGCGGAAAAGGUAUGGAGAAAUAUUCAAGACUUGCAUUCUUGGUUGCCCUUGUGUUAUGGUGGCUAGCCCUGAAGCUAUCAGGUUUGUGUUGGUGACACAAGCAUGCUUGUUCAAGCCAACAUACCCACCUAGCAAAGAAAAAUUGAUAGGCCCAUCAGCAGUAUUCUUCCACCAAGGGAUUUACCAUACUCAAAUGAGAAAACUAGUACAAGUUUCAUUGUCUCUUGAUGUCAUCAGAAGCUUGGUCCCCCAUAUUGAAACUAUUGCCAUCUCUGCCUUGGAAUCAUGGUCUAGCACUUCUGGCAAAGUUGUCAACACUUUCUAUGAGAUGAAGAAGUUCACUUUUGAUGCUGCUGCUUUAUCCAUCUUUGGUAGCUUGGACACUUGCUACAGAGAAAAUCUCAAGACAAAUUACUACAUAUUAGACAAAGGUUACAAUUCUUUCCCAACACAUCUACCUGGAACUUUAUACACUAAAUCAGUCAUGGCAAGAAAAAAGCUAAGCCUGAUUCUUAGCCAGAUAAUAAGGGAGAGAAAGGAGAAGGGAUUAGUGCAGAAAGAUCUUUUGGGCUAUCUGCUAAAUUUCAAAGAUGAGAAGGGUCAAGCCCUAUCCACCCAUCAAAUCACUGAUAACAUUAUUGGUGUACUAUUUGCUGCUCAAGACACCACAGCUAGUCUCUUAACAUGGAUUCUUAAAUACAUUCAUGAUGAUUCAAAACUUUUAGAAGCUAUUAAGGUUUAGAUUUUAUUUUUUUGCUAUAUCUUUACUGCAAUAACCCAUUUCUUGCUAUGCAAGUUAAUUAUUAAAACUUGAAUUUUAC
RNAcentral lists this unclassified non-coding RNA (2042 nucleotides) under Hevea brasiliensis (rubber tree). The record is from RNAcentral. Lineage: Eukaryota; Viridiplantae; Streptophyta; Magnoliopsida; Malpighiales; Euphorbiaceae.